Molecule: ribosomal RNA, 253 nt
Filed under: uncultured Desulfocapsa sp.
Lineage: Bacteria; Pseudomonadati; Thermodesulfobacteriota; Desulfobulbia; Desulfobulbales; Desulfocapsaceae
Description: partial 16S ribosomal RNA
Rfam family: Bacterial small subunit ribosomal RNA
Source: RNAcentral
UACGGCCCCCCCCCGCGUUGUUCGGAAUUACUGGGCGUAAAGCGCGCGUAGGCGGUUUGUUAAGUCAGAUGUGAAAGCCCAUGGCUCAACCAUGGACGUGCAUUUGAAACUGGCAGACUUGAGUAUUGGAGGGGGUGGUGGAAUUCCCGGUGUAGAGGUGAAAUUCGUAGAUAUCGGGAGGAAUACCAGUGGCGAAGGCGACCACCUGGCCAAAUACUGACGCUGAGGUGCGAAAGCGUGGGGAGCAAACAGG